RNAcentral lists this ribosomal RNA (407 nucleotides) under uncultured bacterium. Its description in RNAcentral is "partial 16S ribosomal RNA". It matches the Rfam family "Bacterial small subunit ribosomal RNA", at positions 30 to 526 of the family's 1533-position model. The record is from RNAcentral.
AUUGAACGCUAGCGGGAUGCUUUACACAUGCAAGUCGAACGGAGUGGCGGACGGGUGAGUAAUAUAUCGGAACGUGCCCAGGAGCGGGGGAUAACUAAUCGAAAGAGUGGCUAAUACCGCAUAAUAGUGGAGCGGCCGAUAUCGGAUUAGCUAGUGGGUUGGGUAAAGGAUCACCAAGGCAACGAUCCGUAGCUGGUUUGAGAGGACGACCAGCCACACUGUGACUGAGACACGGCCCAGACUCCUACGGGAGGCAGCAGUGGGGAAUUUUGGACAAUGGGUGAAACCCUGAUCCAGCCAUCCCGCGUGUAUGAUGAAGGCCUUCGGGUUGUAAAGUACUUUUGGCAGAGAAGCGGUAUCUGCAGAAUAAGCACCGGCUAACUACGUGCCAGCAGCCGCGGUAAUUC